UGUGUAUGUAUGUAUGUGUGUGUGUGUGUGUUCGCGCGCGUGUAUGUGUGUGUAUGUAUAUGUGUGUCUGUGUCUGUGUAAGAAGGAAAAUCACAGAAAAAUAGAUUUUUGGAAAGUUACAAGUUUUGAAAAAUUAGAACAGAGUGUAUUGACUCCAAAUGAGUGGGAGUCGACCCAUAGAAGUUUAUCAACCUUUAUGAGUUGAUACAAAAUUCCUAGGAGUUGACCCAAUCAAGGAAGAGCCAUUUGGCUUGCCAAAGCUUCAGCUGGAGUUGACCACAACCCUAUAUGAGUCGACUCACCCUUGCAUUGUGUUGACCUAAGACUCUAAUGUGUCGACACAUACAAGGCAACAACUUUUCUUUUAAAAAUGUCUUCAAUAUGUGUCGACCCAUAACACGUAUGUGUCGACCCAUAACUCUGUUUUCACACAAAACUCAAUAGUUAACAUGUAAAGAUGUUUCUAACCUAUUUUUAAAUGUCCUAAGAUGAAAAUGCACAUCUAUACAUAGAGAGAAAGGUCCAAUGUACACAAAUACUAAGUGUCCUAGUUUUGACAUCAUUCAAAAUAUUUCUAAGAGAAUAGUGCACUCACAUAAAAUUCUUCCAAUUGUCCAUGUAAACACCAAACAUCUUGGAUGCUUGAAAAAAUGAAAGCAUCUCAUUCCCAUGUUAGGGAUCCUUGGAGGUGUGUGACAUAAAAACUAAAUUAAAAAAGAGAUCUAGGGACGAUUCUAUAUUCCGGUGCUCACACCAAUAUCGGUAGACUUUAACAAACAACAGGCUGCUGAGUUUAACUAGGAAUGGGAAAUAUUCAUAUGCCUCAACAUCCCCUCCUCAAACCCGUUGAAGGGAAACUUAAGUCUCAACAGAGUAAAAAUACAUUUGUAGAAGAGGACAGAGUAUAUGAUACUCCAUUAUUUGUGAUAUAUUUAAGCCUCUAAUACUUGAUUUAAAUGGCAAAGUUAUGCCUACUUAGAGUUAUUUAUUUAUGUUUUUACGCUUUAUGCUUAAAUAUUAUUUAGCACACUAGGUACUCUCUUCAUAGUUUUUAAGUGUUUUUGUAUGUUUGUGUGUGUGUGUGUGUGUGUGUGUGUGUGCGCGCGCGUGUGUGUGUGUGUGUGUGUGCGUGUGUGUGUGUGUUAUUAGUCAUAGAUUUUACGAGAAAACUCUUAUGCUUUUAAAAUGUAUAUUCACUCAGACGUAUCGAGAUAGACUUUCAUAUAUUUCAAGACUUGUCAGAUUCUCAAUUCUUAUAGACACUUGCUUGAGUUCACUUUGAGAUCAGGCUUGAGUUAUAUUCCAUUUAGUUGCCAUCAUCAUAGAGCGAAGUGUAUCAAACCAUAAUAUUCUUCUUGCAUCUUUAACUCCUGUAUGCAGGACUUUAGUUGUUGUCGUCAAAGACUAGUUGACAUCGUCAAAAACUUGUUUGUCUUGAGAGGACUUUAUUGACCAAUAACAUGCAUCCCAUGCCUGACUGGCGUCAACCCUUCCCCAAAAGCAAAUCGUCAGCAAAAAGUUAACAAACGAAGAAAAUGAGUUAAGGUACUAUCACAGGCGGAUUGUCAGCCCAACUGACGCCCGUCAUGGCCCAUGUUCAUGCAGCCCCAUCAGGAGAGUCAUGACGGGUGGGCCAUUAGUCCUACUGACGCCCGCCAAUGAAGGAAAAUUGUGAUCCAAAAUGCAGCGAAAUUAAACUUUUUCCUUUAGUGAUCCUUACGGAUGAGCAUGAUCGGUGAUAGAAACUGUUACCUCUUGUGGCGAUUGAAACCUUUGAUGCAGAUCUAAGGAGUGAUCACGAGCGUUGAAUGGUGACAACGCCUCUACUCAAUCCACACGAACGGAUUCCUUCAGUCUCAAUGUUAGUUGCUAUGAAUGAAGGCUUUGAUAGAUAGAUAGAUAGAUAGAUAGAUAGAUAGAUAGAUAGAUAGAUAGAUAGAUAGAUAGAUAGAUAGAUAGAUAGAUAGAUAGAUAGAUAGAUAGAUAGA
RNAcentral lists this long non-coding RNA (1988 nucleotides) under Lathyrus oleraceus (garden pea). RNAcentral describes it as "Pisum sativum (pea) long non-coding RNA (PSAT_LNC037953)". The record is from RNAcentral. Lineage: Eukaryota; Viridiplantae; Streptophyta; Magnoliopsida; Fabales; Fabaceae.